GACUAACGUAUAUUUAAGAAUUUUCAAAGUACCUUUAGAAUGGGUCGGCUCGAAUACUAUAGAGAUCUUUUUUCCUCUUUAUGGGAUUCGGAUCGGCCUAGAAAUACUUUGGGAAUGUAUUAAUAUAGACCUAGCCCAGUUUGAUUUUGAUGGUUUUAUUGGCCCAACCCAUGAAUCCUUAGUAUUUUGAGCCUAACCACAAAAAAUACAAUAUUAUAGGCU
Molecule: long non-coding RNA, 222 nt
Filed under: Elaeis guineensis (African oil palm)
Lineage: Eukaryota; Viridiplantae; Streptophyta; Magnoliopsida; Arecales; Arecaceae
Description: long non-coding RNA (EGUI_LNC007661)
Source: RNAcentral